GUGGGGGUGAGGCGUAUUUGGGGCCGCGGGGAGGUGAACUGAGACAAGGGCGCUGGGAUGUGGGCCCGGGCUCCGGUGGAGGAAGUGUCAUUGGCCCGCACAAGAAUGGGGGGAUCGCGCAAAGGCGGGGGUCGUAGGUGGCGGAGCUGAACCUCCUCAGAAGUAGGACCAUUGAGAAGCGGGGGAGGGCGGCCUCGGUGGUGCGAGACGACCUUGCCAACACCGUGGAGACGCGAAGGGACAAUCUUCCCCAGGCCCCAAGGCUAGAGGUGUUGGGAGACAUCAGGCCCAGAACGUGGAGGAGAGGAGCCUUAGGGUCUGACAGAGGAAGCCAGUAGUCCGAGCUUUCUGCCCAAGGCCCUCUGCUUGGAGAUGCAGGCCCAGGCCCGACUGCGUAGGCGAUGAAAAACUCUGCGGGCGGGGUUCCGAUUCCCGGGAUCUACCCCUGUCUCACUGUACUAGCCUCUGGCCGAGCCAUUCCCGUGUCUGGGUCUCAGUCUGCGCCACAAUAGAGUCAGAUGGAGUGAUCUCGACUGGUCCUUCCUGGUUUGACAAGGACAACUUGAAGGGCUGCUUUCAAAAUACCUAAGAGGAGACUGGCCUCCAGGUCUCCCGUAUGUUAAUCAGAUCUCCUAUCUUCAGACCCAGCCAGUGUUGUCCGUGUGUUCUUUUGUGGCAAAGAAUCUCCUCUUUCACCACACUUACAUCCAUGAAAUAAAGGACCUCAAAUUCAAGUUGGUAGAGGUGAGUAGGCAGAAGACAUAGACACAUUCCAGGAGAAGCGUGAGCACUGGGUUGUAGAAUACCAUGGAAGGAUUCAGAAAAGCAGUUGCCUUUGAGCUGGACCUUGAAAUACGAGCAAAAGUUCACCAGGUGGAGAAGGGAGAAAGACAUUGCAUGUGGAAGAAACUGAAUAAAAGCCCACAAGUGGCCAGAAAGAGACGGAAAGCGACACAGAGAAUCCAUUCCAAACGAGCAGCCAAGAGGAGCCGCGGCAGCUCCCAGAUGUUGAUGUUUUGUUUUUUGACAUAAAUCUUUGCACUCA
This is a long non-coding RNA of Camelus dromedarius (Arabian camel), 1045 nucleotides long. RefSeq lists it as uncharacterized. NCBI's taxonomy places the organism in Eukaryota, Metazoa, Chordata, Mammalia, Artiodactyla, Camelidae. The record is from RefSeq and is a predicted model, not a curated record. The transcript has 3 exons.